Long non-coding RNA from Daphnia carinata, 2244 nucleotides. RefSeq lists it as uncharacterized. The transcript is spliced from 3 exons. Lineage: Eukaryota; Metazoa; Arthropoda; Branchiopoda; Diplostraca; Daphniidae. The record is from RefSeq and is a predicted model, not a curated record.
UUAUUUUUCCCCUUUUUUGUUUCAGACGGUAUUUUUUCCCCCCAUUUUCUUGCCAGCAACAAUGCUCUCGCCACCUAUUGGCCAUACAUUGAAACACAUCGUGCCACUGGCAGAUUCGCACCAGGUAGCCGAGGAGAGGGGAAGUGAGGUAUGAUUAGUCAUCGAACGAUGCCAUCACGUCUUUCGUCUACCUCUACAUUAACGAUUCCAUUGCCAUAGUGUGUUACACGCACGGACAGUACCUGCGGGAAGAGACUGCCUUUUUGACCCCAUUCAUCAGUGGACCAAAAAGCAGAAUAAGGAUGUAUUUUUCCGUUUGCUGUUGACCUGCAACCUAUUUAUGCUGUCGAGUCCAAAGUUUCUUCUAGGUGGAAUGUUAAAAAGGUUGUAUGCGUUUUGCUGGUUUUGCUCAUCGUUUUUCAGCACGAAACGACUUGGCACUGUUCUACUUACUGCUUUCUGUCCCUGGUUUCUGGUUCGUUUGAAAUGCAUCAGGUCAACAGGUCACAGUGAAAGUACCUGUGUUAUAAUAUCUCAAAAAGAUUUUCAUUCACGAACACUUUUCCGAGACUACCAUCCAUGGAACAGGUUUGGUCGAACUGGAAACACCAGCUUUCUUCUCACGAAUGUCGGCAACACCGUGACGUUUAUUUGCAUGAUACUUUCACCUUAUAAUGAAACCCACCAUUCCACUAUACAGUUUUUUUUGCCUUGUUUGCAAAAAGUCUAAUAUCUGUCGGUUCGACAAAUCUACACGAACAAGAUUUUUCGUUCUGUUUACACGUUUGAUUGACGUUUUGUCCUCCUAUUUUGUUCUUUCUUGAAUUUAGACAUAGCACUUUUCCAACGGCGAUACACCGUUGUUCAAUAUCGUUGGAAACGCCACGACAGGACAUUUUGGCUAAUCUCCUAUAACGAUGCCGUUCUGGAAGCAAAACCGGUUGGAUGGCGCCAUCAAACUGCAUGACCAACCCUCGCCACGUAAAAUCUCUGUGUCAUAACUGGCUAUAUCAAGUUAGUGAGUAUGUGAUAAAAGCACUUAAUAUUUUCUACAUCUUAUCGUAGUGUUUAUCCCUGUGAUAAUUCGUACCGACAUAUGGUCUCUGACUGUUGUGUAGAAAUUCUUUCAAUAGCUUGGUAGACGUGUGUAUACCAUUUACUUCGUUGCCUCAUCAUGUUAAGCUUGAAUUUAUCUUGAUUCACUUUAUUGCAACAUUACAUUAUGCAACCUUGCAGACAGUUAUCCGCUCUAAUUCGAUCAAUGAUGACCGAACACUGAAAAAAAAAGUCGAAAGUUUCACUUACGUACAUGCACGUUCUUACGUCUAUUGUGUUACUUUUGAAAUGUACCCAUUAUUUGACACGGAUAUGCUACGGUUGUACUUGAUGGCUAUAACACUUGAGUUAUAUGCCUCUUUAAUAUAAAGGGGCAGAUCAUGUAGUACGCAAUUAAGACGGCUACAGUACACAGCAAGUGAGUAGCGAAAUUAGACCACAUGACUGAACAAGUAGGCUGGUCAAUUGGUUAGAUUGUGUGGCUUCCAUCUUUGUAUCCCUUUCCCCCAGACGUAUUUUUUCCGAAAACAAAAUUCAAAGGAAGGGAGAGAGUAAGCAGAAAAAAGAAGAUAAAAAACAUGAAGUCAUACUGUACAAACCAUUCCUUGAAGUGGCAGACGAUGCACAUAACACAGCCAAACCCAGUCCAACACGGUACAAAAAGUCGCAAUCAACGGUGAGUUGAAUAUGGCAAUCUAUUUUGGUUGUAGUGUACCAAAGAAAGGGUGUGUAUUUCUCGCAAUAUACAAAUCACGAAGGCAAAUUAUAAGAACAAACAACUCAACAAGAUACUUUCAGAUAAUUCACUUUCACAUCCUGCCUCCUGUUUUUAGUCGAGGUUUUAAAACAACUCUAAUUUCCGUUUUAUGACAUAUACAAUAUAGAUGUAUAACACGAUUAUGAUGUUGUCGGCGGGAGCUUGGGUUAUUUUUGUCAAAAUUUUGAUAAAGAAAAAAAUCCAAAUUCUGUACAGACAUAAUCGCACGAACAUACAAGCAGUCACAUAACGCGUCUUUAACAAAUAACAUGAACAACAGUCCACACCACCGAAUAAAAAAAAAAAUGAUUCCAAAAAUUCCGAAGAACGUUAUCGCUUAAAAAGUGAAAAUCUUUUAAAUCUAUUUUCAACACGAAAUUUUCUUCGAUAGUCAGCAGCGUCACCUAUGUACAAAAAGAAACAAGAGAAAA